ACUUAAUUAGUAUAAAGAAAGUACAUUUAAUUUCCAAUUAAAAAGUUUAAUUAAGAAUUAAGUA
This 64-nucleotide transfer RNA is filed under the name Haemaphysalis campanulata. RNAcentral describes it as "tRNA-Gly". Lineage: Eukaryota; Metazoa; Arthropoda; Arachnida; Ixodida; Ixodidae. The record is from RNAcentral.